UACAGAGGUCUCAAGCGUUGUUCGGAUUCAUUGGGCGUAAAGGGUGCGUAGGCGGCGCGGUAAGUCGGGUGUGAAAUCUCGGAGCUUAACUCCGAAACUGCAUUCGAUACUGCCGUGCUUGAGGACUGGAGAGGAGACUGGAAUUCAUGGUGUAGCAGUGAAAUGACGUAGAGAUCAUGAGGAAGACCAGUGGCGAAGGCGGGUCUCUGGACAGUUCCUGACACUGAGACACGAAGGCCAGGGGAGCAAACGGGG
RNAcentral lists this ribosomal RNA (255 nucleotides) under uncultured bacterium. Its description in RNAcentral is "partial 16S ribosomal RNA". It matches the Rfam family "Bacterial small subunit ribosomal RNA", at positions 524 to 777 of the family's 1533-position model. The record is from RNAcentral.